CUUUUUUAACGUAUUUAAGUUAUUUAUAAAACAACGCUCAUUCAACGUUACAUAUACCAACGUUGAAAGUGUAGUAAUUAAAAAACGUUGAAAAAGUGUUACUUUGCCAACGUUAAUAAAACGUUGUUUUGACAAUGUUGAGGAAGUGGCACAUUAAAAAUUAUUGUCUCAAUAACUAGCCAUUACAAAAAUAGUUUGCCGUAAUAGAAAGGCAAGGAAAACUUAAUAGAAUGCAUGCAUAUGGGUUGAAGCAGAGGCAUUUAUUCCAUCUUGUUAGGUGAAAGAUGGAUGUUUAUUUUGUCCAACUGGUGUUCAUGCAAUGAAAACUGCCUAUAAUCAUUUUCCAAUCGAUGAUUUCUGCAACAAGCUCAGACUUAAAAGAGUUAAGGUAACUGGAGGUCAUUAAAUUUUACAAUACUGAUUGCUAAUUUAACUGUUUUAUAUGAUUAAAAAAACUAUUACAGUUUUAUAUUAACGUUGAAGUACUAUACCAAAAAAAACUAGUUUUUUUUUUCCAAUAAGUAAUAUUUUGAAUCUGUUUAUGGUAUUAUUAUUGCCUAGAUAUAUAUUGUAAUCUUUUUACACUUAUUAUACAUUUUAGUUUUUACAUAUUUUUGUUUAUAUUUAUUUUACUAAAUAAUUACUAAUAGAUAAAGAAGUAUGCGAAGGAUUUAAUUUCCCAACUACAGAGUACUCCAAAAAAUAUUCUGUAUCUAAAUGAUAUCCUGACCUAUCGAAUCGAUAUCCUGGUAAUCCACUCACACACAUAAAUCUUUAAAAAUAUGUUUAUAUUUUUAUCUAUA
Hydra vulgaris (swiftwater hydra) is the source of this 803-nucleotide non-coding RNA. Lineage: Eukaryota; Metazoa; Cnidaria; Hydrozoa; Anthoathecata; Hydridae. The record is from RefSeq and is a predicted model, not a curated record.